CCUACGGGAGGCAGCAGUGAGGAAUAUUGGUCAAUGGACGAGAGUCUGAACCAGCCAAGUAGCGUGAAGGAUGACUGCCCUAUGGGUUGUAAACUUCUUUUAUAAAGGAAUAAAACGAGGCACGUGUGCCUUUUUGCAUGUACUUUAUGAAUAAGGAUAGGCUAACUCCGUGCCAGCAGCCGCGGUAAUACGGAGGAUCCGAGCGUUAUCCGGAUUUAUUGGGUUUAAAGGGAGCGUAGUUGGGUUGUUAAGUCAGUUGUGAAAGUUUGCGGCUCAACCGUAAAAGUUCAAUUGAUACUGGCAGUCUUGAGUACAGUUGAGGUAGGCGGAAUUCGAGGUGUAGCGGUGAAAUGCUUAGAUAUAACGAAGAACCCCGAUUGCGAAGGCAGCUUACUAAACUGUGACUGACACUGAUGCUCGAAAGUGUGGGUAGCAAACAGGAUUAGAUACCCUUGUAGUC
RNAcentral lists this ribosomal RNA (460 nucleotides) under uncultured bacterium. Its description in RNAcentral is "partial 16S ribosomal RNA". It matches the Rfam family "Bacterial small subunit ribosomal RNA", at positions 338 to 795 of the family's 1533-position model. The record is from RNAcentral.